GAAAAAACAAAUUCAGGAUUAGCUUUAGAUUUUAGGUUUCUGUGAAAGCUAUACUUGUUGAAUCACGGUCAAGUGUGUCAUGCAUGAUGAAAUGUCUUAGCGUGAACGGAGCUUUGAAGCCUAUGCUCGAUAGACUAAAUAAAAAUGGGUGUUAAUUUAUUAUAUUCUUUGUAACUGUUAUUUGAGUAUUCAAAGGAGGUAUUGCUGAAGCGU
This 213-nucleotide unclassified non-coding RNA is filed under the name Hevea brasiliensis (rubber tree). Lineage: Eukaryota; Viridiplantae; Streptophyta; Magnoliopsida; Malpighiales; Euphorbiaceae. The record is from RNAcentral.